GAUGAACGCUAGCGGCAGGCUUAAUACAUGCAAGUCGUGGGGCAGCAGGACUGUAGCACUACAGUUGCUGGCGACCGGCAAACGGGUGCGGAACACGUACGCAACUUACCCUGAACUGGGGGAUAGCCCGGGGAAACCCGGAUUAAUACCCCGUAAUAUAAUGGAGUGGCAUCACUUUAUUAUUAAAGCUCCGGCGGUUCGGGAUGGGCGUGCGGCUGAUUAGGUAGUUGGUUGAGGUAACGGCUCACCACGCCUACGAUCAGUAACUGGUGUGAGAGCACGACCAGUCACACGGGCACUGGGACACGGGCCCGACUCCUACGGGAGGCAGCAGUAAGGAAUAUUGGGCAAUGGAGGCAACUCUGACCCAGCCAUGCCGCGUGGAGGAUGAAGGCCCUCUGGGUUGUAAACUUCUUUUAUAGGAGACGAAACCUGUGUAUUCUUACGCAGUUGACGGUACCCGAGGAAUAAGCACCGGCUAACUCCGUG
RNAcentral lists this ribosomal RNA (489 nucleotides) under uncultured bacterium. Its description in RNAcentral is "partial 16S ribosomal RNA". It matches the Rfam family "Bacterial small subunit ribosomal RNA", at positions 28 to 507 of the family's 1533-position model. The record is from RNAcentral.